AGAACAACUCUCAGCAACGGAUAUCUUGGCUCUUGCAACGAUGAAGAACGCAGCGAAAUGCGAUACGUAGUGUGAAUUGCAGAAUUCCGCGAAUCAUCGAGUUUUUGAACGCAAGUUGCGCCCGAGGCUUGUCCGAGGGCAUUUCCGCUAGAGCGACACC
RNAcentral lists this ribosomal RNA (160 nucleotides) under Ptychostomum capillare. RNAcentral's name for it is "Rosulabryum capillare 5.8S ribosomal RNA". It matches the Rfam family "5.8S ribosomal RNA". From Rfam's summary of the family: 5.8S ribosomal RNA (5.8S rRNA) is a component of the large subunit of the eukaryotic ribosome. It is transcribed by RNA polymerase I as part of the 45S precursor that also contains 18S and 28S rRNA. Functionally, it is thought that 5.8S rRNA may be involved in ribosome translocation. Lineage: Eukaryota; Viridiplantae; Streptophyta; Bryopsida; Bryales; Bryaceae. The record is from RNAcentral.